UUGAUCUCAUAAGAUUUUGAAAUUGGCAUGUACAUGGAAAUGGUUUGAAAGUACUAUGUACAUUGCUUGCCUAGCCGGAGAAUAUCUUUUGCUUCACUGUCAAAGGCUUGCUUCUGGGUGUAAACUUGCAGCUCGCGUAGGAUCAAAGCCAUGGUUAAGAGUAUAUAAAUCGCUCUAAGAUGAUGACAAAGUUAAAUUGCAAGGCAUGCACAACAUGGUAUCCCAACUCAAAACCAACGUACCUAAAUAUUUCAUUUUCAACUUUGAAGCUCUCCCUCCGACUCCCUUACAUCUUCCUCCCCAACCUUCAAUUCGAUCUUCCACUAUUACUUAGAUCCUGUCCUAACGACAUUCACCAAACACAAACAUAUUCGUAUUCACGGAAGAACACAUCUAUAUUCUGCCAUCUCCAUCUCCAUCGCCUUCAACUUGGUGCUCCACGAAUAGAAGAGUCCUCCAUGGAUGCGGUCU
Long non-coding RNA from Rhododendron vialii, 471 nucleotides. RefSeq lists it as uncharacterized. NCBI's taxonomy places the organism in Eukaryota, Viridiplantae, Streptophyta, Magnoliopsida, Ericales, Ericaceae. The record is from RefSeq and is a predicted model, not a curated record. The transcript has 3 exons.